Pelobates cultripes (western spadefoot toad) is the source of this 95-nucleotide non-coding RNA. NCBI's taxonomy places the organism in Eukaryota, Metazoa, Chordata, Amphibia, Anura, Pelobatidae. The record is from the annotation of a GenBank genome assembly.
UAGUAUUUAGGCGAUCAACGUUUCGACCCAGGAGGUCUUUAUCAAGAUUCUUGAUAAAGACCUCCUGGGUCGAAACGUUGAUCGCCUAAAUACUA